Molecule: ribosomal RNA, 460 nt
Filed under: uncultured bacterium
Lineage: Bacteria
Description: partial 16S ribosomal RNA
Rfam family: Bacterial small subunit ribosomal RNA
Source: RNAcentral
CCUACGGGUGGCAGCAGUGAGGAAUAUUGGUCAAUGGACGGAAGCCUGAACCAGCCAUGCCGCGUGCAGGAAGACGGUCCUAUGAAUUGUAAACCGCUUUUGUCCAGGGGCAAACCCGAAUACGUGUAUUCAGCUGAAAGUACUCUAAGAAUAAGGAUCGGCUAACUCCGUGCCAGCAGCCGCGGUAAUACGGAGGAUUCAAGCGUUAUCCGGAUUUAUUGGGUUUAAAGGGUGCGUAGGCGGAUAGGUGAGUUAGCAGUGAAAUUUGCGUGAUUAACUCCGGAACAGCCGUUGAUACUGGUGAUCUAGAGUGUGGAUGCGGUAGGCGGAAUGUGUGGUGUAGCGGUGAAAUGCUGAGAGAUCAUGCAGAACACCGAUUGCGAAGGCAGCUUACCAGUCUCUAUCUGACGUGGAGGCACGAAAGCGUGGGGAGCGAACAGGAUUAGAUACCCCUGUAGUC